RNAcentral lists this ribosomal RNA (918 nucleotides) under uncultured bacterium. Its description in RNAcentral is "bacterial SSU rRNA". It matches the Rfam family "Bacterial small subunit ribosomal RNA", at positions 117 to 1042 of the family's 1533-position model. The record is from RNAcentral.
GUAUAGAAUCUACCUUAUACAGGGGGAUAGCCUUUGGAAACGAAGAUUAAUACCCCAUAGUAUGUAUGAAUGGCAUCGUUUAUACAUUAAAACUGAGGUGGUAUAAGAUGACUAUGCGUCCUAUUAGCUAGUUGGUAUGGUAACGGCAUACCAAGGCAACGAUAGGUAGGGGUCCUGAGAGGGAGAUCCCCCACACUGGUACUGAGACACGGACCAGACUCCUACGGGAGGCAGCAGUGAGGAAUAUUGGACAAUGGUCGGAAGACUGAUCCAGCCAUGCCGCGUGCAGGAAGACUGCCCUAUGGGUUGUAAACUGCUUUUAUACAGGAAGAAUAAGGGGUACGUGUACUCUGAUGACGGUACUGUAAGAAUAAGCACCGGCUAACUCCGUGCCAGCAGCCGCGGUAAUACGGAGGGUGCAAGCGUUAUCCGGAAUCAUUGGGUUUAAAGGGUCCGUAGCGGGUUUAUAAGUCAGUGGUGAAAGUCUGCAGCUUAACUGUAGAAUUGCCAUUGAUACUGUAGAUCUUGAAUCGUUGUGAAGUGGUUAGAAUAUGUAGUGUAGCGGUGAAAUGCUUAGAGAUUACAUAGAAUACCGAUUGCGAAGCAGAUCACUAACAAUGUAUUGACGCUGAUGGACGAAAGCGUAGGUAGCGAACGGGAUUAGAUACCCCGGUAGUCUACGCCGUAAACGAUGGAUACUAGUUGUUUGGUUUUCGGACUGAGUGACUAAGCGAAAGUGAUAAGUAUCCCACCUGGGGAGUACGUUCGCAAGAAUGAAACUCAAAGGAAUUGACGGGGGCCCGCACAAGCGUGGAGCAUGUGGUUUAAUUCGAUGAUACGCGAGGAACCUUACCAGGGCUUAAAUGUAGUCUGACAGCUUUAGAGAUAGAGUUUUCUUCGGACAGAUUACAAGGUGCU